AAAGCAAACUUUUUUUAUUUUGAAGAACGAUCCAGGAAGUAGCAGAACAAAACAACUACAAUUGUGUUCAAUGCUCUAUGGUGUGAACUGUGUAGUCUGAAGACGUUGACUUUACACUGCAAUGCAAAUUACUAUAACAUAAGUGUUUUAACAUAAACAUAGUGCUAAGGACAUGUCCAAUACUGUCGCAUUUCAUGCUCAGCUAGCCUCCAUCGUCGAGGUAUUGGCGAAUGCAGCCGUUGCCGAAAUCUGCAAACUUGUAGAUGACGGCCAUGCUGCUUUACGUUUGGAAAUUUCCCAUAGCCAGAAAGAAAUUGAGAACUUGCGGAGGAAGCUGGUUUUGACAAAAUGUCAGACUUCUCGACGGAGCGCAGAGAGAUUUGGAGCCCUGCGACGCACAGUUCACAGGCACGUGGACACUAAUCAUGUUGCCCGGGGAAGAGGGAGCUUUGUAGUGAAGUCGACAGGCAGAAUUGGAUAUUGGUUUCUCUUGUUUGGUGCAGUGAAGAAUCGUUUUGACGACAUUGAAGAGGGCAACUUCAUGCAGGAUGUCACUACCUGGAAAGACGCAGGACGCACAGCGACAGACCAUAAUGGGGCAUGCAGGUCAGUUGUCAUAGACAUGGUCAAAUGUAUUAUUGUUUAAUCAUAUUUCAAGUGCUGUUGUGGAUAUGUUAUUAAUAAAAGGUUUCUGAUGAAUACAAAACACAGAUGGCAGAUAUGCAAGAGGAACUUGUGUCAAAAUGGAGAACCUUGACACCAGUACAAUGGAAGGUAUUUGUUGUUGUUGAAACUAAUCCAACCCUACGCAAUUUACAUGUUAAGUAAAGUUGUCCAUGUUUAUUUCAGUAUUUUAUUAACUUCUUGGUCAUAACUCAUAAUUAAUAAAUAAGGCAAAGAAGAAUCAGCCUCCACUACAGGAAGCUGAUGCUGUGCUUUACUUUUCCCCAUUUCAGAGAUUGUCCAACCAGUCAGUGAGAGGCAGUGAGAAGAUCAUUGUGGCAGAACCAGGUUCUUCAUCCUCUACUGAACCCACAGACCUUCUGGACCAGCAGGGCAACAGACACCGAGCUCCAGACACCUCACUCAAUAUAGAACCUGAAAACCAGACGUUCCAGCAAUCCAGCAUCACAAUACAGCAGAGCAAGACAGGACAUCAGGUUGCUGAGGGUGUGACCUGGAAACUGACCAUCAACCCAUAGAAUACAGCCUGUCCCAAUGGACAGAGGACCAAGAGACUGACAACCCAACUGUGAAUGCUCCUCAUAAUGCAGGGCCAGACUCCAAGAGGCUGUCUGGACAUCCAGAGAGGAGAGGGGUGCCAGGUAACUCGGGGGUCUGCAUGUCUGCUUCAGGCUCUCUGGACUGGCUGCCUGAUGUGGUGAUGGUGGACUCAGUUCCCAUUAAAGUGGAGGCAGAUAUGAGUUCAGAAUGGAGCAUAACUGGCCAAGAGUGACAUCUGGAGAGGUUUGUUCAGACAGCAGGCAGCUUGUGGACAACAGAGGAAGAGGGGGAAUGGAGUUUGGACAGACAACAUGUCCCCCUGACACUCAACAUGUAGAGCAAGGGAGAACUGUAGGACCAAGGUCCAAGUUUCCAGAUAUCAAUGGACUGUCCAACCGAAACAGCUCUUCAUCCCCAAGGGUUACUCUCCAACAGGUUCCCCAAAGAGGGAAGCCAGCCCCCUUCCCAAAUUUCAACAGAGGCUCCACUUCUUCAUCGAAAGGCAUAGAAAAGCAGCCGCAACAGCUGACGUCUCAAUCCAGCAAGAGAUAUCUCCGGUGCAGCCUCUGCGGGAAGCCCUUCCCCAGGCGUACCUAAGCAGGCACAUGCGGGUCCAUACGGGGGAGAAACCGUACGGCUGCAGCCACUGCACCAAGCGCUUCUCCCACAGCCACCAGCUGAAGAGGCAUGAGAGGGUGCACACCGGAGAGAAACCGUUUCAAUGUGUCUACUGUGGGAAGUGCUUCACCCAGUCCUGUCACAUGAAGAAGCACCUCCUCGUCCACACUGGCGGCAGGCCACAGGACGUUGUGCUGCCCUAAGUGUUCCAGGCUAUAGUUCAGACUAGAUACAGAUCUAGGAUCA
This is a long non-coding RNA of Oncorhynchus kisutch (coho salmon), 2088 nucleotides long. The record is from Ensembl. Lineage: Eukaryota; Metazoa; Chordata; Actinopteri; Salmoniformes; Salmonidae.